CGUUGAAAUGGGCUAAGAUUAUCCCGGCCCGUUAACAGGCAAACCGAUUCACAAUUCACGUUUCCUUCUUGUUCCCAGCUUCGCCCUCUCUCUAGAAAACCCAAAUACUUGCGAAGGGGAAGAGACAGAUCGCUGGGAGAUGGCUCGCCGUAGAAACGAAAGCGACGACGAUGACGACGAUUUCCUCUACCGAUACCCCGUCCCCUCCUCCUCAUCCGCCUCGGCCGCCAACUCCCGCUCCCGCGGCGGCAGCGGCGCCUCCUCCAAGGGCGGAUCCGGCGGCCUCGCCCCCUCAAAAUCGACGGUCUAUGUCUCCAACAUCGAUUACACCCUCACCAACUCCGACCUCCACACGAUCUUCUCCACCUUCGGCAAGGUCGCCCGCGUCACCGUCCUCAAGGACCACGCCACCCGCCGCAGCCGCGGCGUCGCUUUCGUGCUCUUCGUCUCCCGCCACGACGCUGCGGCGGCCGCUCGGUCCAUGAACGGGAAGGUCCUCAACGGCCGCACGCUCUCGGCCUCCAUCGCUGCUGACAACGGCCGUGCCGCCGAGUUCAUUCGCCGGAGGGUCUACAAGGACAAGAGCCGGUGCUACGAAUGCGGCGAGGAGGGCCACCUCUCCUACGAGUGUCCGAGGAACCAGCUGGGGCCCAGGGAGCGGCCCAAUCCGAAGCGGGCGCGGCGGAGGGAACAGGGCGGCGGCGGCGGCGGUGGCGGUGGAGGUCAAGAUGGUGGUUCUGACGGUGGCGAAGAGGAAGCUUUCGAUAACGAUAACUGGGCGUCGGUGGUGGACACGAGGGGGUUCGACGAGAAGGCGAGGGAAAGGGACGAGCGUUUUGGUGAUGGGAACGACAAGAAGAAAAAGGAGAAGAAAGUUAGCUAUUUCAGCGACGAGAGUGGCGAGGAUGAAUAGGAAGGUUCCUGAUGAAGAGUUUGAGUAUCUUAGGCAUCUCAUAGAAGAAAAGUGUACUGAAUGAACUGAUGAAUGAUAGGUCAAAUGUCGCCUUGCGAGGUAUUUGCAUAGGGCUGCAGCUGAACCUUGUGGGUCAAGGGCUCUGUGCAGCGUGGCCACAGCCAAUGCUCCGCGCAGCUGCACCAAGCGUGCCUCGGCAAUUCAGCAUGCCCGCGGCUGCACCAAGCCUGCCUUGGCAAUUCAGCAUGUCCGCGGCUGCACCGAGCCUGCCACGUGGCUGUACUACUACAGCACUUUCGCCUGCAUUCUGUGGCUGCCUAUUUCAGUCAAAUGUUGCCUUGCCAGGUAUUUGUUGGUUCCUCUGGAGGUGUAGUUAUUCUCAGCACUUAUCAUCUCAUCACUGCACCUGCUUCCAUUUUUGUUGAUCCAUUUAUUUUGUUUCAUAUGCUCCAGAUACUGUGUUCUUGGAUCAAUAAUUCUAUCUAUCUUUCAACAUGCAGUUUAGCUGCCAUUACUGUUAAAUUGUCAAUCUAUAUAUGUUAAGUGUAUCUAGUCAAGUUUUUAUAUUAGAAGUAACAUUAAAAUGUAAGGCUUGAUUAAAUUCCGGCAAAAUAUGAAAGAAAAAAUCGGCAUGUUUGGCUCUUUAGUAAAA
RNA transcript from Musa acuminata AAA Group (dessert banana), 1565 nucleotides. It is a transcript of the gene named U11/U12 small nuclear ribonucleoprotein 31 kDa protein, with no coding region annotated. NCBI's taxonomy places the organism in Eukaryota, Viridiplantae, Streptophyta, Magnoliopsida, Zingiberales, Musaceae. The transcript is spliced from 3 exons. The record is from RefSeq and is a predicted model, not a curated record.